Non-coding RNA from Spinacia oleracea (spinach), 86 nucleotides. Lineage: Eukaryota; Viridiplantae; Streptophyta; Magnoliopsida; Caryophyllales; Amaranthaceae. The record is from Rfam.
AGCAAAAUGAUGAAAUCAGUUGAGCUGAAUUUCUUUUAUGUGGAAUUAUUUCAUCUGAAAUAUACCUUCAAAGUUCUCUGAUUGCU